Gallus gallus (chicken) is the source of this 1310-nucleotide long non-coding RNA. NCBI's taxonomy places the organism in Eukaryota, Metazoa, Chordata, Aves, Galliformes, Phasianidae. The record is from Ensembl.
AAUCUUGCUGGAGAUCUUUGCCUACCUGAGGGUUUCCAAGGAUCAAAGAAAUUGAGGCAGCUCAUUGCACACUACUGCAGCUUGCAUAGAGACACCUUGGGCUGACUUCUGUUUUGAGCUGUACACCACAAAAAGGGAAAACAAAGAUACAUGGAAAUUAAUCUUAAUCUUCCUGUCCUGGUUACCUCAAGCUUCAGCUUAAGAAGGAAAUCAAUAGCUGCUCCUAACCAUUAGCCACACAGAUCAAAGAGGAGGGAAUGUGCAUUUUCAUGUCCGGUGGAAAUGGCCAUGGAUCGAUGGACUUGUCUCUCAUCUCAAUCUCUUCUUGCUAGAGCACAAGUGCAAGGAUAAUUCUGUGUACAGCACUGGACUCUUGCAGCAACUUGAAAGUGACAAUGAGGAUCUCAAAAAUGAAUCAGAGAAAGCCUGAUCAGCAGCAGCUUGAGUCUGGUUGAAUGGAGGGGGACUGAACUCAAGACAGAGGGUUAAUAGACAAGGAGUGGGCUCUGCUUUGCUUCCCCACCCUCCAGCCUGUGCAGCUGGGCCAGCGCCAUGGCUGUUGUAAUUUCCUUCCAUCAGCAGCAAGGGGAGAACGGGAGACCAACUGUGACUCACAUGGUCUGAGUCAAAUCUUUUCCCUGGCUGUUCCUGAACACAGCUUAGAGCAUCUUCUCAUUUAAUUUCAAAGCCCUGGCCAGGCUCUUGGGUAGUGUUACCUCCAACUGUAAAUCGCAGAGGGAAGCAGUGGGAGGUUCCUCAGGCUUUUGGAAAAUGACACUUGGAAAAUUCAGCAGCAUUAAUAGGAAAACCCUGCAUGUAUCCAUAGUGGCUAAUAGUAACAAGAGAAAGUGUUUCAUGUAGAAACGAGAAAGGGAGUAGUUCUCACAUGUGCAAAAUCAGGGUAUUCUGUCCCAGAAUUGCUCUGCUCUUAAAAGAACUUAAUUAUCCCCUUGCCUUAUGUUGUCUAAAAUUGUGUGGAUCAGUCGUCCUAAACAUCCUCACUUAGGGGAUGUAUGGUGACCCUAAAUGUGUAUCUGCCAUAGGCACAAGCGAACACCAACGAAGCAGAGGAGAACCUUAACUACAGAUGUUUGUUUGGUUGGUUGGUUUUUGUAUCAGUAUUUACGUUGCAUUCAUCUUUGACCACAUAUAUGGUAUACUGGACAAUACUAUUUACAAACCUUAAUACGUUUCUCAUUCAAUUUUGGCUAAAAGCAAAAAAAAGAGAGCAGGGACUGUUGACAGAAGUAGUAGUAAGUAUGUACAGAAGCAUUUGAAAGAUUGGAGCACUGAUGAAAUAAUGAUCUUAG